GCCUGCAAAGCAGAUGGUGGAGCGCGCAGCGGGGAGAGGCGCCGCCAGCUGCCCCGUGCUCUCCCCCGCGCCUUGUACUCGCUCUACACUAGGCAGGGCCGGGCUGGGAGGCCGCCAGCCCCGGAAAGCCACCGCUGGGGGCUUUUGGUAGUUGUGAAGGAAUCACGCAGCUUGACCAGAGAUGUCCUGCUGUGGCCAAGCAGGUACACCCGUUGUGCAAGGGCUGCAUCUCUUUAACACUUGUUGGGAAGCAGUGGACAGCACAGUCACUAUCCUGUACCAUUCAGUUUUAAGGAAAGAUGACUGUCCAUGGACCAGACUUCCAAGAAGUAGAGCCUGGUGGCUCUGGUGUAGGAGAUGUAGGCUCUGCUCAGAGAGCUUGACCCCCAAUAUCUCCAUGGGAGAUGCUGAGUAUAAUGACGGACAAGAAUACAACAGAAUGUCUGAAUGAACCUGCAGUUCUUAGCCCUUGAACUUAUGGAGCAAUUCCAUCAGCCACCAUUCCCUUUUCUGGGACCCAGGCUGAAGACACAGCUCUUUCCUGGACAUUGUGAGUCUCAUGGGAGAGGAGAUGAGGGAUGGAAGAAUCACCUAUCCAUUAAAGCAUCCAUUAAUGGUCAUUAAAGCUUCUGCACAGAAGUAGCACAUGCCACUUCCACUCACAUUUCAUUGGCCAAAGUGAGUCAGAUGGACAGACAUGAACACAAUAGGGUGGGAAGAGUAUAAUCUUCCCAUGGGGAUAGUCUCUGUUGGGUGGGCCCAUUUAGGUGGUCCUUGUAAGAGGAGCAGCUGAUAUUUUGAAGAGUAAUGCAAUAUACCCCACUACUCUAUUGCAAAAUAAAUUUUA
Molecule: long non-coding RNA, 847 nt
Organism: Eubalaena glacialis (North Atlantic right whale)
Lineage: Eukaryota; Metazoa; Chordata; Mammalia; Artiodactyla; Balaenidae
Exons: 5
Source: RefSeq, a predicted model, not a curated record